This 158-nucleotide ribosomal RNA is filed under the name Conocybe fuscimarginata. RNAcentral describes it as "5.8S ribosomal RNA". It matches the Rfam family "5.8S ribosomal RNA". Rfam says of the family: 5.8S ribosomal RNA (5.8S rRNA) is a component of the large subunit of the eukaryotic ribosome. It is transcribed by RNA polymerase I as part of the 45S precursor that also contains 18S and 28S rRNA. Lineage: Eukaryota; Fungi; Basidiomycota; Agaricomycetes; Agaricales; Bolbitiaceae. The record is from RNAcentral.
CAACUUUCAGCAACGGAUCUCUUGGCUCUCGCAUCGAUGAAGAACGCAGCGAAAUGCGAUAAGUAAUGUGAAUUGCAGAAUUCAGYGAAUCAUCRAAUCUUUGAACGCACCUUGCGCUCCUUGGUAUUCCGAGGAGCAUGCCUGUUUGAGUGUCAUUA